This 578-nucleotide ribosomal RNA is filed under the name Fusarium poae. RNAcentral's name for it is "eukaryotic LSU rRNA". The stretch from base 213 to 366 matches the Rfam family "5.8S ribosomal RNA". The record is from RNAcentral. Lineage: Eukaryota; Fungi; Ascomycota; Sordariomycetes; Hypocreales; Nectriaceae.
UUUCUCUGUUCAUCUAGAGGAAAGUAAAAGUCGUAACCAGGUCUCCGUUGGUGAACCAGCGGAGGGAUCAUUACCGAGUUUACAACUCCCAAACCCCUGUGAACAUACCAUAUGUUGCCUCGGCGGAUCAGCCCGUCCUUCGGGACGGCCCGCCGCAGGACCCUAAACUCUGUUUUUAGUGGAACUUCUGAGUAAAAAAACAAAUAAAUCAAAACUUUCAACAACGGAUCUCUUGGUUCUGGCAUCGAUGAAGAACGCAGCAAAAUGCGAUAAGUAAUGUGAAUUGCAGAAUUCAGUGAAUCAUCGAAUCUUUGAACGCACAUUGCGCCCGCCAGUAUUCUGGCGGGCAUGCCUGUUCGAGCGUCAUUUCAACCCUCAAGCCCAGCUUGGUGUUGGGACUUGCGUUAAUUCGCAUUCCCCAAAUUGAUUGGCGGUCACGUCGAGCUUCCAUAGCGUAGUAAUUUACACAUCGUUACUGGUAAUCGUCGCGGCCACGCCGUUAAACCCCAACUUCUGAAUGUUGACCUCGGAUCAGGUAGGAAUACCCGAUGAACUAAGCAUAUCAAAUAGCGAGGAAA